RNAcentral lists this ribosomal RNA (485 nucleotides) under Photobacterium damselae subsp. piscicida. RNAcentral's name for it is "bacterial SSU rRNA". It matches the Rfam family "Bacterial small subunit ribosomal RNA", at positions 1 to 472 of the family's 1533-position model. Lineage: Bacteria; Pseudomonadati; Pseudomonadota; Gammaproteobacteria; Vibrionales; Vibrionaceae. The record is from RNAcentral.
UUAAUUGAAGAGUUUGAUCAUGGCUCAGAUUGAACGCUGGCGGCAGGCCUAACACAUGCAAGUCGAGCGGCAGCGACUUAACUGAACCUUCGGGGAACGUUAAGGGCGGCGAGCGGCGGACGGGUGAGUAAUGCCUGGGAAUAUGCCCUGAUGUGGGGGAUAACUAUUGGAAACGAUAGCUAAUACCGCAUAAUCUCUUCGGAGCAAAGAGGGGGACCUUCGGGCCUCUCGCGUCAGGAUUAGCCCAGGUGGGAUUAGCUUGUUGGUGAGGUAAUGGCUCACCAAGGCAACGAUCCCUAGCUGGUCUGAGAGGAUGAUCAGCCACACUGGAACUGAGACACGGUCCAGACUCCUACGGGAGGCAGCAGUGGGGAAUAUUGCACAAUGGGGGAAACCCUGAUGCAGCCAUGCCGCGUGUGUGAAGAAGGCCUUCGGGUUGUAAAGCACUUUCAGUAGGGAGGAAGGUAGUGUAGUUAACACCUGCA